GUAGUCAUAGAAGGGAGACAUGUUUGGCAUCUCCCCUAACAGUGCAGGGAACAGCCUUUGGCCUUACCAGUUACCAGCGCCUAUGGUUGAGGCUCCCAACUCCUCAAGGUGGAUCUUUUAACCAAAUCCUCUC
Carya illinoinensis is the source of this 133-nucleotide small nuclear RNA. NCBI's taxonomy places the organism in Eukaryota, Viridiplantae, Streptophyta, Magnoliopsida, Fagales, Juglandaceae. The record is from RefSeq and is a predicted model, not a curated record.